This is a long non-coding RNA of Xiphophorus hellerii (green swordtail), 920 nucleotides long. RefSeq lists it as uncharacterized. The transcript is spliced from 2 exons. The record is from RefSeq and is a predicted model, not a curated record. NCBI's taxonomy places the organism in Eukaryota, Metazoa, Chordata, Actinopteri, Cyprinodontiformes, Poeciliidae.
AAUUUAUUGUUUUGGUAUUAUUAUUAUUAUUAUUAUUAUUGCCACUGCAAUAAAUAGCAAUAUUAACAAACUUUAUUUUUUUGUAUCAGUUGUAUUAAUUAUUCACCCCACUCAUGACUCCGUGCCGUACCUACUUCUGAUUAUACAAACUAGUUAACACUACACCUCGCAGUCAGAUCUGCUCAGUUGAGAAAAGCGCUACACAGAACAAACUGCUACAUUGCUUUGCCAAUUUUCUUUGGACCGAACUGCUGGGAACUGAGGUUUUUGUUCCCUUUUGUGGGUUUUUUCUGUUCUCCCUGGUCUGUGACUUCUCCCUUCAUCCACCAGAUGGCACCAGAGGCUGUUUUCCUGGAAGGGCGUGCCUAUGUUUCAUUAUCCAAUCAUCCUGAGGCUUAAGAGGAGCAGGACAGUCUGCACUUCUUCGCCCGAGUGUUAGCCAGUAAUGGUACUCUGAGCCCUCCUGAGUGUACUCUCUGAGCUUUAUCCGAGAAGAACUCUUUGUAAUCACUCUUGUUGCUUCUCUGUUCUCAGGUUUUUCCUCGUGACGCCAUGGACUCGGGCAACUCACUGGUUGCCCGAGUCCCACCUUCACCUCCUCCGUUUGAUCACAAACCACUCCUGGACUCUCCAGCUGGUAGUCAGACUCUGUCUUCCUCCACGCCUGAACUUACCUGUCCGCCCUCCACCGCAGCCUCCACAUUUCCACACGGAACCUCCCUGAUCGAGCCACCCUCUGGAACCCGGAUUACCUUCUAGACCCAACACAAAGGAUUCAUACCCCAGGGCCCUCAGUCAACUCUCUCCCCAAAGGAAUAUUCCAUCAUUACAAUGUACCUACGACUCCUUGAACCUGCCCCAGGGAUUAUUCUCACCCGACCUCUCUUGCCUUAUUGUAUAAAUAAACAUCCUCUAACUGA